AAUGAGACAUUUAAAGAUCGGGUAAGUCAUUCUGUUGAGAAGAAUCAUAUUUGUACAACAUUUCUUAACAUCCAGACAGAAAUCAAAAUAUUAAAUGACUGGGGGGAAGAAAUCCAUGGUCUCUGGCAGCAACAAGGUUGUAACAGCUUCAUCCAAUCAAUGGACAGACUUCCUGUCAAUCAGUCUGCCCUCACCCCAUCCCCAUAACGUGUGACUGGGUUAUAAUGGACACACUGCUGGAACUAUAGCGGACCGUUUACGACAAGAAUGGCAGAGAAACUACAGCAGCGCUUCUCAUCACCGGCAGUACCUACAGCAGCCGACACAGCUGAACAAAGAAAGAGAAGAAAGACUGAACUCGACAAGGCUACCAAAAAAAAGAAAAGAAGAAGAAGUCAGACAAGCACAAGAAGUAAAACAAGUAACAACAUCAGAGGGGCUGUUCAGCGAUGGCAGCAACUGAUGGCCUGAACACGGACGCCAUGUUAGCUACUGUUUCUGUUGGAUAAUUUGUUAAGAGAGGGAAGCAUUAACUUCCAGCCUUCGGAGCGUCACCAUGUCCCUGAAGUCUGCUCUCCGACAGUUUGUUCGUGUGGCGGGGUUCAGCCGAGGGACCGGAGCCAUCUCGAAGCAGCUGCGCUACUCUUUAAGAGAGGUGGCCUCACAUAGAUGGGUACGAAUCAAUCAGCUAUAAGGAGCACCGUCUGUGUUAUCAGUCUGAUAUGUCAAAAAUGAAAAACAAAUAAAUGACUGACCUCAUUUAAA
This is a long non-coding RNA of Acanthopagrus latus (yellowfin seabream), 765 nucleotides long. RefSeq lists it as uncharacterized. The record is from RefSeq and is a predicted model, not a curated record. Lineage: Eukaryota; Metazoa; Chordata; Actinopteri; Spariformes; Sparidae. The transcript has 3 exons.